This 374-nucleotide unclassified non-coding RNA is filed under the name uncultured Gammaproteobacteria bacterium. Its description in RNAcentral is "contains 16S-23S intergenic spacer region". The record is from RNAcentral. Lineage: Bacteria; Pseudomonadati; Pseudomonadota; Gammaproteobacteria.
UCCGGUUUGUCACCGGCAGUCUCCCUAGAGUGCCCUUGCGUAGCAACUAGGGACAAGGGUUGCGCUCGUUGCGGGACUUAACCCAACAUCUCACGACACGAGCUGACGACAGCCAUGCAGCACCUGUGUUCCGGUUCUCUUUCGAGCACAUCCACCUUUCAGCAGACUUCCAGACAUGUCAAGGGUAGGUAAGGUUGUUCGCGUUGCAUCGAAUUAAUCCACAUCAUCCACCGCUUGUGCGGGUCCCCGUCAAUUCCUUUGAGUUUUAACCUUGCGGCCGUACUCCCCAGGCGGCUCACUUCACGCGUUAGCUUCGACACUGAUCUCCGAGUUGAGACCAACAUCCAGUUCGCAUCGUUUAGGGCGUGGACUAC